GCUCACAGCUCAGGCAUCCGCAUAGAACAUCUCAUAGAGAUUACCUCCAUGACCCGGAAGCUCAACCUGCAGAUCAGGAAACACUCUAACCUGAGAUCCCUGGGAUCCAUAAGGACACGGAUGUGGCCUUGGUCCCCUGACUGGUGGUAAGAGGGGUCCCCGAAGAGGUGUGACUCCUCCUAUAGCUGGCCAGUCAACGUGGGCCGG
Molecule: long non-coding RNA, 207 nt
Filed under: Hordeum vulgare
Lineage: Eukaryota; Viridiplantae; Streptophyta; Magnoliopsida; Poales; Poaceae
Description: long non-coding RNA (HVUL_LNC006707)
Source: RNAcentral